GACGAACGCUGGCGGCGUGCUUAAUACAUGCCAGUAGGCCGCAGUUGCGUACGGGGGAGUAACGCGUAGGUAACUACCUAUUUUAGGGGGAUAACUCUUGGGAACGAUAGCUAAUACCGCAUACUAGUAGAUGGACCUGCGUUGUAUUAGCUAGUAGGUAGGGUAAUGGCCUACCUAGGCAACGAUACAUAGCCGCCCGGGUAGGUGGAUCGGCCACACCGGGACUGAGGAACGGCCCAUACUCCUACGGGAGGCAGCAGGAGGGAAUCUUCGGCAAUGGGGGGAACGCUGACCGAGCAACGCCGCGUGAGUGAAGAAGGGGUCGGGAUCGUAAAGGUCUGUGGUUAAGGAAGCGGUAAUUAACCAGAAUGGGACGGCUAACUACGUGCCAGCAGCCGCGGUAAUUC
RNAcentral lists this ribosomal RNA (407 nucleotides) under uncultured bacterium. RNAcentral's name for it is "partial 16S ribosomal RNA". It matches the Rfam family "Bacterial small subunit ribosomal RNA", at positions 28 to 526 of the family's 1533-position model. The record is from RNAcentral.